UUAAACUAAUUUAAUAGAUAUGUUUUUCUUUAGUUCUAAGUUUUUUUGGGUCUGGUUUUUUCGCCGCUUGUUUGUACUUCAUUUCAUCAUCGUUCGAAAGUAUCGUGUUAUCUUCCGUAUUUGAAGCACUUUCCAGCAUUGGUAUUGGUCUAGUAUUUUGCAUAGGUGUUGAAAUAUUUCCAACAGAAUAUAGAGGCGUUGGCGUUUCUAUUGGUUCCAUGUUUGGCAGAAUAGGUGCAGUUCUUGGCAACAUCGUAGUUGGUGUAUUUAUAGAUGCACAUUGUAUGGUUCCUAUUUUAGUAUCGUGCUCUCUUUUGAUAAUUUCAGGGUUAUUAGUAUUAACAUUACCAAAAACUGGAAGGACCACCAUAAAAUGAAAAAAUAAUAUUAGAAGAGAGAAUUCUGAACUUGUAUAAUUAUUAAACAAUUAGUAUAUCCUGUUUCUUACAAUUUUAUAAUAUAUACAAAUUUUACAUACAUUUAUUAUUUUAUUUUUGUCCGUACAUUUAUGAAUAUAUCUUUAUAAUUUAUUAUGUAUAAAUAAAUAAUUAUUUAUUAAACUUCGUAAAAAAUUAAUGAUUUGUAAAGAAAAAUACAUAAGUAGACACAUUGUAAUACGUUGGUCUACCUAUGUCGAGGUAUUUUCUAAAUAUGUACUCAAAACUUUGUUUUAUUGUAAUAUUUUGUGAAUGUUUGUUGUAUUUUUUCCUUUUGUUAAAUAUAUAAGUAUUUUCAUUUGCACUUAUUUAGGCUGUGUUUAAUUACGUUUGAUUUAUAUAAUGUAUAUAGUAUAAUAAAUUUCAUAUUGUUUGUAAAUAUUAUAAUCAGUGUAUAAAUUGGAAAAGAAUAUAAAGGGGAUGGAAAAGUGUAAAAAAAAUGUGCGUACCUGUUAAGAUAUUUGAAUAAUAUAAUUUAGUAUAAUAUGUUUA
Molecule: long non-coding RNA, 929 nt
Organism: Acyrthosiphon pisum (pea aphid)
Lineage: Eukaryota; Metazoa; Arthropoda; Insecta; Hemiptera; Aphididae
Exons: 3
Source: RefSeq, a predicted model, not a curated record